RNAcentral lists this ribosomal RNA (506 nucleotides) under uncultured bacterium. Its description in RNAcentral is "partial 16S ribosomal RNA". It matches the Rfam family "Bacterial small subunit ribosomal RNA", at positions 30 to 523 of the family's 1533-position model. The record is from RNAcentral.
AUUGAACGCUAACGGCGUGCUUAACACAUGCAAGUCGAGCGGCAGCAUGACUGUAGCAAUACAGUUGAUGGCGAGCGGCGGACGGGUGAGUAAUGCAUAGGAAUCUGCCUUGUAGUGGGGGAUAACCCGGGGAAACUCGGGCUAAUACCGCAUAAUCUCUACGGAGCAAAGUGGGGGACCUUCGGGCCCUACGCUAAAAGAUGAGCCUAUGUUGGAUUAGCUAGUUGGUAGGGUAAAGGCCUACCAAGGCAACGAUCCAUAGCUGGUCUGAGAGGAUGAUCAGCCACACUGGGACUGAGACACGGCCCAGACUCCUACGGGAGGCAGCAGUGGGGAAUAUUGGACAAUGGGCGAAAGCCUGAUCCAGCAACGCCGUGUGUGUGAAGAAGGCCUUCGGGUUGUAAAGCACUUUUAGUGGGGAAGAAAAGUUCAUGGCUAAUAUCCAUGAAUGCUGACGUUACCCACAGAAAAAGCACUGGCUAACUCUGUGCCAGCAGCCGCCGUAA